Long non-coding RNA from Prosopis cineraria, 661 nucleotides. RefSeq lists it as uncharacterized. The record is from RefSeq and is a predicted model, not a curated record. Lineage: Eukaryota; Viridiplantae; Streptophyta; Magnoliopsida; Fabales; Fabaceae. The transcript is spliced from 3 exons.
UUGGCAGCGUCAUUGACAUUGUUCUAGGAAACAACUCGUGAUUCCAAUGGCGGCGAUAAGUGGUUGUGAGUCCGAGUGUAAAGGUCUUGAUUUUGAAGAUGAUAGGAAAGCGAGUGAAGAAUGACAAGCUUCUAUCUUGGUUCGAACCUUAGGGCUUUUUCUACUCCCAUAAUUCGAUGAAGAUUGAGGAGACAUUAGCAGUAGCAGGGAAAGGAACGUCAAAGAUAGAGUUGCAUUCCAAACAAAGUGAAAGGUAGAGAAUAUGGACGAUGGGUACAAGUUUAGAAAGUAUAGGAAGAAGAUGGUGAAGAACAGCCCCAACCAAAGGAACCAAAGAAGUCAAAAACUAAUUGGAGUGCUUGGGAAUUAGGAAGUAGCGAAGCCAAAGAAGUUGAGAACUCAUUUGGUCAGGAUGAUUGUUGGAAAACUAAAUUUAACGAUAAAGAUAAGCAUCAAAUAUGGAAGAAGGAACACAAGCAAUGCCUAACUUUUGAUAAAUUAUACAAGCAAACUUGCGAACUAAAUCAGGAAAAGUCAAAGGAAGAAGUAGCGAGGAAGGAGAGAGAGAAAAUAGAGUAGCUAUGAACGCUACCUCACUUGUGUAUUAUCUUGUUGUAAUGUAAUUAUCAUAUAUUAUCUUGUUGUGAUGUAGUUAUGCUGU